Neopsephotus bourkii (Bourke's parrot) is the source of this 461-nucleotide long non-coding RNA. RefSeq lists it as uncharacterized. The transcript is spliced from 3 exons. NCBI's taxonomy places the organism in Eukaryota, Metazoa, Chordata, Aves, Psittaciformes, Psittacidae. The record is from RefSeq and is a predicted model, not a curated record.
UACUGUGACAAAAAGACGAGUUAGCAGUUAUUUCUUGUUAAAUUACCUCACGAAAACACAACUACUAGGAGUUACAGGUGAUUUCUGUGGCAAGGGCAGUGCUGAAUGCUAUUGCUGAAAUGGCUCGCAGGACUGCCUCAAGGAUCUGACAGGAGGAAUUGAGUAUGCUGCCAAGAUAUUAAAUGAAAUUCCCCAGAAAGACAUUCAGUGCACUAAAAGAGCCUCAAAGGCAGAAAGGGAAGGAAAUGGGCAAGGAGAAACAUCGGUAAGGAACUGUACUAGAAGAGAUGAAAGGUCCCUUGAGCCUGUGCUUUGUCUCCAGUGCAGGGCAGUGAUAGAUACGUGGGUUGAAGAUAGGAACAGGGCAAGCACAUAGAGAUGUUCUUCAGAACUGUGUUUCUUAGCUGUCUGUGGCUUGAAACCUUUCUGAACCACGUGGAUUUAUCUACUUGGGUUUUGAA